GACGAACGCUGGCGGCGUGCCUAAUACAUGCAAGUCGAACGCAUUUUCUUUCACCGUAGCUUGCUACACCGAAAGAAAAUGGGUGGCGUACGGGUUAGUAACACGUGCUUUACCUGCGCAUCAACGGGGGGUAACACUUGGUAACAGGUGCUAAUAUCUCAUAAUUCCAUUUACAGCAGUGUAGAUCGGUGAUAGGGGCUCUUACGUCACUGAUGGAUGGGCCCGCGGUGCAUUGGACGGUUGGGGGGGUAAAGGGCUACCAAGGCUGAGAAACAUAGCCGACCUGGGAGGGGGAUCGGCCAACCUGGGACUGGGACACGGCCCAGACUCCUACGGGAGGCAGCAGUAGGGAAUCUUCGGCAAUGGAGGCAAGUCUGACCGAGCAACGCCGCGUGAGUGAAGAAGGUUUUCGGAUCGUAAAACUCUGUUGUUAGAGAAGAACAAGGAUGAGAGUGGAAAGUUCAUCCCUUGACGGUAUCUAACCAGAAAGCCACGGCUAACUACGUG
This 507-nucleotide ribosomal RNA is filed under the name uncultured bacterium. RNAcentral describes it as "partial 16S ribosomal RNA". It matches the Rfam family "Bacterial small subunit ribosomal RNA", at positions 28 to 507 of the family's 1533-position model. The record is from RNAcentral.